GACGAACGCUGGCGGCGUGCCUAAUACAUGCAAGUAGAACGCUGAAGAGAGGAGCUUGCUCUUCUUGGAUGAGUUGCGAACGGGUGAGUAACGCGUAGGUAACCUGCCUUGUAGCGGGGGAUAACUAUUGGAAACGAUAGCUAAUACCGCAUAACAAUGGAUGACACAUGUCAUUUAUUUGAAAGGGGCAAUUGCUCCACUACAAGAUGGACCUGCGUUGUAUUAGCUAGUAGGUGAGGUAAUGGCUCACCUAGGCGACGAUACAUAGCCGACCUGAGAGGGGGAUCGGCCACAAGGGGACUGAGACACGGCCCAGACCCCUACGGGAGGCAGCAGUAGGGAAUCUUCGGAAAUGGGGGAAACCCUGACCGAGCAACGCCGCGUGAGUGAAGAAGGUUUUCGGAUCGUAAAACUCUGUUGUAAGUGAAGAACGGGGGGGGAAGGGAAAAGUUCCCCCUGUGAGGGUAGCUAACCAAAAAGGGGCGGCUAACUACGU
This 496-nucleotide ribosomal RNA is filed under the name uncultured bacterium. RNAcentral describes it as "partial 16S ribosomal RNA". It matches the Rfam family "Bacterial small subunit ribosomal RNA", at positions 28 to 506 of the family's 1533-position model. The record is from RNAcentral.